AUGGCCAUCUUCGAGGAGUUCUUCCUGGGCUCCAUUGACCUUGCCCGCCUUAACUAUGGGAUCAUCUUGCUCAUCCCCAAAGUAACCGGGGCCUCUGACAUCCGUCAGUUCCGCCCCAUCACGGUGAUCAACAUGAUCUUUCAUAUUCUGGCCAAAGGGUACGCUAAUAGGGUGACCCUCCUUGUUGACCGCAUCAUCCACCCCAACCAGUCGGCCUUCAUCCAAGGCCGAUAUAGUUUGGAUGGGGUGCUGGUUUUUCACGAGAUCCUGCACGAGGUCCACGCGAAAAACCUUAAGCCGGUCUUCCUAAAGAUUGACUUUCACAAAGCCUAUGACAUGGUCUCUUGGCCCUUCCUUCAGGAAGUUCUGCUUCGGAAAGGCUUUGACGAUCGGUGGGUCACGCGUGUCAUGCAAAUGGUCUCAUGUGGAUGGACUGCCGUUAACAUUAAUGGGGAGGUCGGACCCUACUUCCCCACCAUCUGCGGGGUCUCGCAAGGCAAUCCCUUCUCCCCCUUCUUGUUUAACAUUGUGGUUGAUGCCCUCGCCGUCAUCCUGGACAAGGCGAGGGCGACUGGCCAUAUUCAUGGGAUCACCCCCCAUUUGACUGGGGGACGCGAGAUCUCUCUCCUCCAGUAUGCCGAUGACACCAUUAUCAUGGUGGAAGGCUCGGACGAGGAUAUCAUGAACCUUAAGUUCCUCCUCCUCUGCUUCCAACACAUGUCUGGCCUCCGGAUCAACUUCGACAAGAGUGACGUAAUGGUGUUGGGCUACUCUCCUUAUGAGAGCCAGAGCAUCGCCAACCGCCCGAACUGCCGCCUCAGGACCUUCCCCACGACCUACUCGGGGAUCCCAAUUAGCAAUUCUCGACUUUUGGUGACUGAACUAAGGCCGACGGUGUCCAAGCUCCAGCUCCGGAUUGAGCCUUGGUAG
Molecule: ribosomal RNA, 930 nt
Filed under: Triticum aestivum (bread wheat)
Lineage: Eukaryota; Viridiplantae; Streptophyta; Magnoliopsida; Poales; Poaceae
Description: partial small subunit ribosomal RNA
Source: RNAcentral